This 589-nucleotide ribosomal RNA is filed under the name uncultured bacterium. RNAcentral's name for it is "partial 16S ribosomal RNA". It matches the Rfam family "Bacterial small subunit ribosomal RNA", at positions 355 to 937 of the family's 1533-position model. The record is from RNAcentral.
UGGGGAAUCUUCCGCAAUGGACGAAAGUCUGACGGAGCAACGCCGCGUGAGUGAAGAAGGUUUUCGGAUCGUAAAACUCUGUCUUUUGGGGCGAACGUGAGUAUGGUGAACAAUCAUAGUCAGUGACGGUACCAAAGGAGGAAGCCACGGCUAACUACGUGCCAGCAGCCGCGGUAAUACGUAGGUGGCAAGCGUUGUCCGGAAUUAUUGGGCGUAAAGAGCGCGUAGGCGGGAUAGUCAGUCUGUUGUAAAAGUGCGGGGCUCAACCCCGUGAUCGCAAUGGAAACAGCUAUUCUUGAGUGCAGGAGAGGAAAGUGGAAUUCCCAGUGUAGCGGUGAAAUGCGUAGAUAUUGGGAGGAACACCAGUGGCGAAGGCGACUUUCUGGACUGUGUCUGACGCUGAGGCGCGAAAGCCAGGGGGAGCGAACGGGAUUAGAUACCCCGGUAGUCCUGGCCGUAAACGAUGGGUACUAGGUGUGGGAGGUAUCGACCCCCUUCCGUGCCGGAGUUAACGCAAUAAGUACCCCGCCUGGGGAGUACGGUCGCAAGACUGAAACUUAAAUGAAUUGACGGGGUCAUAGCUGUUUCC